AUUGAACGCUGGCGGCAUGCUUUACACAUGCAAGUCGAACGGUAACAGGCCUUCGGGUGCUGACGAGUGGCGAACGGGUGAGUAAUGCAUCGGAACGUACCCAGAGGUGGGGGAUAACGCAGCGAAAGCUGUGCUAAUACCGCAUGUGAUCUGAGGAUGAAAGCGGGGGACCGAGCAGCAAUGUUUGGCCUCGCGCCUUUGGAGCGGCCGAUGUCGGAUUAGCUAGUUGGUGGGGUAAAGGCCUACCAAGGCGACGAUCCGUAGCUGGUCUGAGAGGACGACCAACCACACUGGGACUGGGACACGGCCCAGACUCCUACGGGGGGGCGCAGUGGGGAAUUUUGGACAAUGGGGGCAAGCCUGAUCCAGCAAUGCCGCGUGCGGGAAGGAGGCCUUCGGGUUGUAAACCGCUUUUGGCAGGAACGAAACGGUGUCCGCUAAUACCGGGCGCUAAUGACGGUACCUGCAGAAUAAGCACCGGCUAACUACGUG
Molecule: ribosomal RNA, 492 nt
Filed under: uncultured bacterium
Lineage: Bacteria
Description: partial 16S ribosomal RNA
Rfam family: Bacterial small subunit ribosomal RNA
Source: RNAcentral